Acinonyx jubatus (cheetah) is the source of this 7503-nucleotide long non-coding RNA. RefSeq lists it as uncharacterized. The transcript has 3 exons. NCBI's taxonomy places the organism in Eukaryota, Metazoa, Chordata, Mammalia, Carnivora, Felidae. The record is from RefSeq and is a predicted model, not a curated record.
UGCCGCGAUCCCUAGCACCAGGGCCGAGAGGCCUAUAAGGACUAGAGCGGAGAGGCCACGCCUCCUCAGCGCCUCAGCCCAAUCCAGAUCCGGGAGUGUGGCCCCCCUCGGCCAAUGGGCUCCGGGCGCACGUUCGCAACGUUCUCUCCUGCCCGGUGACAGAGGUCUGGCCCCGCCCCCGCUGAGCCCCAGAACGCUCCCAGCCGAACCCCGCGCCGCGGCCACGCCCCCUUUCUGGAAGGGAUCCGCGGCGGCUGCAGCUGCCAAGGUCCCCGAGGGCGCUCGCGGCAGGGGAGGAUCAAGGAACGACUUGUUUAUUAUAGGGUCCUGUUGCUGGGGGAGGGGGUAGCCGUGACCGCGCGGGGGGAAAGGCAGGGGAACUUGAGGGGGCGGCGGGCCGGGAAAACGGUUGCCCCCAGCGUCUGGGAACCUGAGACUACAGGCACAAGUAAGCGCUCGGGUGGAUGCCUGUGGGACGGCGGCGCGGGGAGCAGACGUUAACCCGGCCGGACCUCGCGCACAUACCCCACGCUAACCCGGCCUUGCAUAGGGUCGGAAUAUGGGGAUGGGGUCAAGGCAGGGCUGGUCCCAGCACCGAGCUCUCUUGCAGCGCCACCAGUUUGUUAACUCUACAGCCCCAGUGGGUGGGUUAAUGGGGGAGGUCCAUGCCCCCCCCCCCAAUAUGAUCCUCGUCCGCUAGAUCGUGUCCGCUCCCACCCCCAACUGCUUCCAAGGAGAGAGUUUGGCGAGGGUGGCUAGAAGAGGUUUGUUGGGCUCGGGUUCCUAGCGCCUGGUCUUGGGUCUGAGAACGGGGACUCAAAUUCGAUGAACACAAGGGCCCUCCGCGGGCCCUACAAAUAGACAGCGGUUCGGUGGUGUCUCCCCCGCCCUCUGUACCCGAGAGUCCUCGGGCGUCUGCCGGGUCCUAGCGCCCCUCCUUCCAAGGCGCUUUGUGUAAAAGAACCGGAGAGUUGCAUCAGGACCAAGGACUAGAUCUCCGGAAAAGUCCGGGAGUGCAAUGGCCAUCCCCUGUUUCGUCAUUCAGGCGGGGCCACAGGAUAUCUGGCUUGAUGGCAGUGCUCGGGGACGAAUAAUGAUUGCUGAGGGUGGGAGGAGGUUCGGACGGACUCGACCUUUAAGUCUUUAAAGGCUUAUCAAUCUGGGACACCGGGAUCCCGAUAGAAGAGGGAACCAAAUUUACAGCAGACACUCCCACUCCGGGAGCCUAACCAGAUCCGACUGGCAGGCCUCGCCUCGGGGGCGGGCUUGCGCGUGACAGAUGACACUUGCUGGAGGUCGGGCCCCUGCCAUCCCCACCCCCACCUAAUUAAAAAAAAAAAAAAAAAAAGGCUGACCCGUGGGCCUUUCGGGCAAACCCUGACUCGAACCAGAAAGGACCGGAAUUGAGGCCCUGCACCGCCCCCCUCCCCCAUUUUCCAGAUGGAGGAACCAAUUAUGGAGACAAAUUUAUGGAUAAAAAAUAAAUUAGGGGGAGUCAGAUUAGGAGAUAGCGUUAAGAUUGCCGCGCAACAGAAUAGUCUUUAGGCCGCUGGGGCGAUUAAGGCCUGAACACUGGCCCUUUCUUCCUGUCCUCCGAGUUCCAGUCACUUACUGGGAGCCUUAAAGACACCAGGAUCAGGGGGGUUAGGGGAAGUGCUUGGAGGGCUGGUGGUGGUAGAUGACAUUCUCUUGAAAUCACAGUUUACUGAGGUGGGGUGACCCGUAUGGAUGUGGCCUUGUCGCCAGGACAGAAGGUUAGGGAAUGAAUCCAUCAGAGUACUAUUCCCUCUUCCCACCAGACAGACUGGGUUGGGGACACCUGAGACAGAAGGAGAUAGUUUGGGGAUGUUUUUCUUUUUCAUCUCUCUCUCUCUCUCUCUCCCUCUCUCUGUGGCAGGAAAAAAAGGAAAUAUUUCAGAAAAAAAUGUGGAACACUAAGAAAAAUAGAGGUUUUUAAAAAAGUGGAUAUUCAUAAGCAAAAGAAUCCAGAGACCGUGUGGAGAGCUCAGUUCACCAGAAACCAUUCAUAUUCAAUAUGGUAUUUGUGUGGUGCAUUUGAGUGUUUGUGUGUGUGUUGAAUAUGUGCAGUGUGUCUGCAGUGUAGGGUUUGUGCUUUGUAUGUAUUUUGUGUGUAUGUGUGUGGAAUAUCUGUGGUGUGAGUGCGCUGUAUGUGUAGAUCUUAGUGGGUGUUGGUUAUGGUGUGGUGUAUGUGAACUGUGUGUGUGGUAUAUAUGAAUUGUGAAUGUGGUUUAUAUGUGGAGUAUAUGCAGCAUAAGUGUGGGCUGUGCAGUGUGUGUAUGUGUGUGUUAUUUGUGUGGCAGCGAAACAUGGUCAUGAAACAGUGUGCUAAGCACAUUUUAUCAUUCACUGUCUCACUCUGUUAUUGCCAAGUUUUUCCCAAAUGGGAAGGCCUGUGUUAAUGGGCACUGAGUAAUUUUGUUUCUUUUCAAAAGAAAUCCACUAAUGUUGUUGCCUCAUUGUGUUUUCUAAAAAUAUGGAAAAGAGGACCAGCAGUCUUAGCCCUGGAAGUCUCUCCCAGAGCAGAAGGGGUGGGCUGCAGAAUAAACAAUCACCUACAAGGAGGACUGGGGGCCGGGGAGGCUCCAAACGACUUUCCUCACUGACCCCCUUCUCCCCUGUGAAGGAGGGGUCAAAGCCCCAUACCAUUGUCUUCCAGGAGAACCUUUGGACCUGGAAGAGGAAUUUCUUAACUGUUAGCCCCUCUGUGGAGUCAGGGUAAAGGGCGUUGAUCCAUCGUGUGAGGGGAAGGGAAGGGUAGGAUCCCUUCCAUCUGGCUGGGGCUGCAAAGACUUCAUUACCACCCCACUUACCCCUUCCACUAUUGAAGCAGAUGGGGGUGUGGGAAACACCUAAAAUGUGUAACUCCUGGGGGAGGAGGAAGCUCAGUCUCCUCACCGCUAAGCCAGGCCCCCUUGGAGACCUCAAAGAUCCCAUAAACCCUGCAUUUGGUGUGCUUCUCUCUCCCUACUACUCCCCUUGGGCCUAAGCUGGCUGCAGGUCAGACUUGCCUGAACAUGCCCCUGCCUGAAGCUUUGGAGACCCAGCUCUGGCAUCCCUGCAGCCAAGAAGCCUUCCCCAGCACACCCACCCCCACCCUCCCAUCCCUUAGGUGCCCCUCCUCAUGUCAUCCUUAUACCCCUGUAUAUCUCUUGUUAAUAAUUGUUUCCACUUUAGUCUUCUUAUUGGACUAUGAGCUUCUUGAGGAUGGUGUUCUACUCUCCUUAACUUCCAGUGGACAGCACAUAGUAAAGGCUCAGUGAACAUUCCUUGGAUGAACAGAUGAAUGGAUGGAUGGAUGGAUGGAUGGAUAGAUGGAUGAAUAAAGCAAGAAGGUGAAUUUUCCCAGAAUUGUAGACCUACAUCUGGAUUCCCAAGACCAAGGUGGGCCUUUGGGGUGGACCUUCAGAAGACCUGGAUGCUACGUUUCUAUCCUUCUUCUGACAAGUGCUGCCCAAAGUCUUGGAUGUAUCUGAACCUUUUCCUCCUUUCUCAGCUCAGGUCUGGGAGUGGGGCUUCUAAGGCCCCAAUUUAGUUCUCCAAUUCAAAGAUAGCAUACAACCCAAGGAAGCUGGGGAGAGAGGGGACAUUGUGUAGAGGGCUGAUGUGGGGAAUCUUUUCAAGCAAUUAGUACUUUGCCUUCAAGUGCUUCAAAAUACUUAAAAAAAUCUUUUGACAUACAAUUCACAUUCACAAUUUUUUUAAUUUUUAUUUUUGAGACAGACAGAGAGAGAGAGAGAGAGAGCGUGCGCAAAGGGGAUGAGGGGCAGAGAGAGAGGGAGAUCCAGAAUCUAAAGCAGGCUCCAGGCUCUGAGCUGUCAGCACAGAGCCUGACAGGGGGCUCGAACUCAUGAACUGCAAGAUCAUGACCUGGGCCAAAGUUGGAAGCUUAACUGACUGAGCCACCCAGGUGCCCCACGAUGAACAAUUUUAAAGUGAACGAUUCAGUGGCGUUUAAUUCAUUUCCAAUGUUGUGCAACCACUAUCUCUAAUUCCAAAACAUCUUUAUUACCUCAAAGGAGACCCCAGAUCCAAGCGCUGGGUCACUCUCGUCAAAAUCCUUUUGAAGUUUAUAUUCCCUUGUUGGAAUAGGGUUGCUCCUUUGCCCAACUCCAGAGGGCAUCCUUCGCUUUUGAGUCUGUGCAUUUACAUAUGUCUUCUAGGGAAUUGUGCUCUAGGGAGCACGGGUCACAUAGACGUAAUGUGCAACAUGGACAUCAAGACAACCACGGGAGACUGGCUGAACUCUGAGCAGGAGUGGCCUAGUGUCACGUCCUGGGUCCUGAGUGACUCAGGCCUCUGGAGCUGGUAAUCAGGCCCCAUGUCCCAGUCACUGUGGCCAGAGCCCUGACCACACAGACACUGCCUCUUCCCGGGCCCUGCUCUAUUCCCGUGGGACCUGCCACAGCCUGCAAUUGAAAGUCAAUGAGCACUCACUCCUGGCCUCCUGCCUCUCCCGGUUCAGGCAGUUUUUGUCCAGUGCACCGAUUCCCAGGGCCUCAGUGUGGCAAGUCGCCCGAGUCGAGUUUGGGAAGUUAAACCAGAUCUUGGGGUGGGAACCCUAGAAGUCAGGAUGGGAACCCCUGAAGGCCAGCCAGCUUGCCUGCAAGGCUCAGCUUGGGCACCUUCGCAGUUCUUCGGAAACAUCUCAUUGAGGGUAGUGGAGGUGGCGGGAGGAGCCAGUGGGUCAGGGCGGUGGGGAGAAGGUGGAGGGGUGUGGUAGGAGGUGGGGACAGUGGAGCCAGCAAAAGUGUUCCCCGGACUUCUGCGGCUUUUUUUCUUGAAAAACAACAAACAACCUUGUCAAAAUCAGCAGCGCUGUAAGUGCACCCGGUUUAUUAGGAGGGUUGUGAAAAGCUAUUGACAGCCCAGGGCUUCAGGUAGGAUUUUGAUUGCACUGUUGGAAGAAGCACUAAAAACUCAGUGUGGAGUCUUUUUGCAAAUGAAAUUACUUUUUGAAAUGGAAAUACUAACAAUACAAUGUAUUGUAUAGGCUUAAAAAGAAUAGGUCUUAAAAACUACCAUCUAUACCCUGAGGAACGAAAACAGUGCCAUUCUACAGAUGAGGAAAUUGAGGCCCAGAGUGAGUCCAGGAAUCCUUUCAACCAAUGGCUUUCAAGCCCAACUGAUAAUUAGAAUCAUCUGGGGAGCUUGUUACCGUAGAUUCUCAUCUCUCCAGCCCCUAUUUUAAUUUGGUAGGUCUGUGUGGGGCCCUUUCGUAAAACAGCCCCCUAGGCGAUCCUGACGCUCCGCUCCGCUCCAUUUUAGUUGGAAUGUCUGCUGACCUCUCAGAAAGAAAGAUGAGAAGACCAAAGGGAAGUAUCCAAAGCAACCCUGAAUGGGAACCAGAUCCCACAGUCCGUUGGCUUACACUGGCCCUCUCUCCCUUCACCUCAUCGCCUCUUCAGAGAGGCCUUCCCUGGUGGCCCCAUCCCUGCUUCUCCUCUGUUGUUUCCUUUCAAGGCACUCAGUCAGUAUGGAAUUAUACAGGGCUGACGUGACAAUCAAGACACAGCGUAUGUGACAAUGCUUUGGGAGCAGCAGAGCAUUUUAUUGCAGAGGCACCCUUGCCAUCAGCUUGCUUAGGCUGGCUGGUUGUGCCGUCCUGGUCAUUAGCUGUCAUCCGCCCUUUGCCUUCCUCCUUGUUCACGGAAGUGUCCCUCAAGCAUCUAUUUUUUCACCAUACUGAACCUUAAAGAGUUAUGUAGACACUGACAAAUAGCUAAUUCUAUCAGCUCCUCAAGGAACUGCCUGUCUCUUCAUUUUGCUUGAGACCCCUUAUCACCAAUCACUGGGAGGAAGAAGGGAGAGUAGUGAAAAAGCUUAUUUCCUCCUGGCAGUUAAUUCACUUUAUCAUUUAAAAAAAGGUGUUAGGGUUUUUCUUUGUUCAAGGCACUGGGUCGGGUUCAGUGGGGUGCAGCAUGGUGCACCUAAAAUAAUCUCAGCUUUGGAAUCUGAGAGACUUUGAAUUCAAACCCGGGCGUGGCUAUUUGCUUAGCUCUGCAGACUUGGCGGGUAAUGCUCGCUCUGAGCUUUAAGUUCGUCUUCUGUACUGGGGGUAUUACAUCUCUUGCAGCGAUAUUGAGAAGAUUAUAAUUAAUGCCUGUGAGUGACUGGCACAUAGUGAGUGCAGAGAGGACAGAUAAGCAGCAAGGACCAUCUUCAAGCUCAAAGCGUGGUAACAGGAGUUGUGGAUGAUGAGAUGUGACAACCAACAGAAAGGUGCAGAGAGGGAGGGGCAUCUUCAAAAAAAUAGCGAAGGUCUUGUUCUGACAGUACUCAAGUAGCAGCCAAAGGAUCGCUGUGAAAGGUGCAACCCUGCAUUCUCUUCAGUUUCUGAAGUCAUAAAAACAAAAUGGCCAACCGAAAAAAAUUCUGUUAAGUCCCAAUACUAAAGGGUAAAGAUGAGGUAAUACAGUGUCUGUGUUGUAGUUAUGCAAAUGAGAACAAUGAGAGAAAGUUAGCAAUGGCUUCUCAACUGUCACUGGAAAUGUGACCUAAAGGUUUACUGCAGUCUAGGUAUUUUUAAUUUUUCCUUUGGCAAUCAUCACGAUGGUUGGUGCUGGGGCACCUCGCUGGCUCAGUCGUUUGAGCGUCCGACUUUAGCUCAGGUCAUGAUCUCAGGAGUUCAAACCCCACAUUGGGCUCGCUGCUAUCAGCACAGAGCCUGCUUUGGAUCCUCUGUCCCUUUCUCUCUCUGCCUCUCCCUGUUCUCUCUCUUUCAAAAAUAAACAUUUAAAAAUAAAUAAAUAGCCUUAAAAAAAAAAAGAUGGUUGGUGCUAAAAAGUACAUUAGGAAACUCAAUGGCUUCCAAAUAUGGAACUUGUUUGGGUUGAGAGGUAUUAAUAUGGAAACAGGUGAGUCUGCAGGCUGGUCAUUUUGUGCUCUGAUGUGCUUUAGAGACUAGAGCAGUGGGCUGAAUUAUCAAUAAACUGAAAUCUAUUCUAAAUUCCAAGAUCUCCUUCUGCCUGGGCUAUGUGACCAUGAGCAGGUCUUUAACAUCCCCGUGUUCAGAUUCUGGGAGUCAAGAUUACUGACUCAAUGAAGUCACCACCUCCUUGUCAGGUAGUAGGUGUUAAACGUUUUGAACUCCUGAGAUUAGGGCCAAUUGCUACUGGGAUUAUACUUAUUCAUCAUUAAGCAACUCUAAACAGGUUGGGUAUAAGAGAAAGACAAAUGUUAUCAAGACAAAUGUAUGCUAAUUUUUUAGCAUCCAAUCUAAAAUAAAUGAUCUUCCUAAGUGUACAGUGUGGACCCUGGGGUCCCAUGAGGGAGAACAAAGGACAUCUCUUAGCUUUCCAGGCUUUUCCAUAUCCUGGUAUAAGAGCCUACUAAAUUCGGGGUGUCUGGGUGGCUCAGUUGGUUGAGCAUCCAACUCCUGAUUUUGACUCAGGUCAUGAUCCCAGGGUCGUGGGAUUAAGCCCUGAGUUGGGCUCUGCGCUGACGGAGGAGUCUGCUGAAGAUGUUCUCUCUCUCUCUCCCUCU